GCUACCAUGCAGUCGAGCGGAUGAAGGAGCUUGCUCCUGGAUUGAGCGGCGGACGGGUGAGUAAUGCCUAGGAAUCUGCCUGGUAGUGGGGGACAACGUUUCGAAAGGAACGCUAAUACCGCAUACGUCCUACGGGAGAAAGCAGGGGACCUUCGGGCCUUGCGCUAUCAGAUGAGCCUAGGUCGGAUUAGCUAGUUGGUGAGGUAAUGGCUCACCAAGGCGACGAUCCGUAACUGGUCUGAGAGGAUGAUCAGUCACACUGGAACUGAGACACGGUCCAGACUCCUACGGGAGGCAGCAGUGGGGAAUAUUGGACAAUGGGCGAAAGCCUGAUCCAGCCAUGCCGCGUGUGUGAAGAAGGUCUUCGGAUUGUAAAGC
This 378-nucleotide ribosomal RNA is filed under the name Pseudomonas sp. RNAcentral describes it as "bacterial SSU rRNA". It matches the Rfam family "Bacterial small subunit ribosomal RNA", at positions 48 to 431 of the family's 1533-position model. Lineage: Bacteria; Pseudomonadati; Pseudomonadota; Gammaproteobacteria; Pseudomonadales; Pseudomonadaceae. The record is from RNAcentral.